This 532-nucleotide ribosomal RNA is filed under the name uncultured bacterium. RNAcentral's name for it is "partial 16S ribosomal RNA". It matches the Rfam family "Bacterial small subunit ribosomal RNA", at positions 355 to 903 of the family's 1533-position model. The record is from RNAcentral.
UGGGGAAUAUUGCACAAUGGGCGAAAGCCUGAUGCAGCAACGCCGCGUGAGUGAUGAAGGUUUUCGGAUUGUAAAGCUCUGUCUUUUGGGACGAUAAUGACGGUACCAAAGGAGGAAGCCACGGCUAACUACGUGCCAGCAGCCGCGGUAAUACGUAGGUGGCGAGCGUUGUCCGGAUUUACUGGGCGUAAAGGGUGCGUAGGCGGAUGUUUAAGUGAGAUGUGAAAUACCCGGGCUUAACUUGGGUGCUGCAUUUCAAACUGGAUAUCUAGAGUGCAGGAGAGGAGAAUGGAAUUCCUAGUGUAGCGGUGAAAUGCGUAGAGAUUAGGAAGAACACCAGUGGCGAAGGCGAUUCUCUGGACUGUAACUGACGCUGAGGCACGAAAGCGUGGGUAGCAAACAGGAUUAGAUACCCUGGUAGUCCACGCCGUAAACGAUGAGUACUAGGUGUAGGAGGUAUCGACCCCUUCUGUGCCGCAGUAAACACAUUAAGUACUCCGCCUGGGAAGUACGAUCGCAAGAUUAAAACUCU